RNAcentral lists this ribosomal RNA (1799 nucleotides) under Salmonella enterica. RNAcentral describes it as "partial 23S ribosomal RNA". It matches the Rfam family "Bacterial large subunit ribosomal RNA", at positions 1 to 2179 of the family's 2925-position model. Lineage: Bacteria; Pseudomonadati; Pseudomonadota; Gammaproteobacteria; Enterobacterales; Enterobacteriaceae. The record is from RNAcentral.
CCACCACUAAGCCAGUGGUGAACUCCACAUACGCAUCCUUUGCUGAGGAUACGGUUAACGGAGCGAAAGCGACGUUCAACCUCAAAAGAAGCAGAGGGGGCUUAGUGGUGGGGUGACUGCGUACCUUUUGUAUAAUGGGUCAGCGACUUAUAUUCUGUAGCAAGGUUAACCGAAUAGGGGAGCCGGAGGGAAACCGAGUCUUAACCGGGCGUUAAGUUGCAGGGUAUAGACCCGAAACCCGGUGAUCUAGCCAUGGGCAGGUUGAAGGUUGGGUAACACUAACUGGAGGACCGAACCGACUAAUGUUGAAAAAUUAGCGGAUGACCUGUGGCUGGGGGUGAAAGGCCAAUCAAACCGGGAGAUAGCUGGUUCUCCCCGAAAGCUAUUUAGGUAGCGCCUCGUGAAUUCAUCUCCGGGGGUAGAGCACUGUUUCGGCUAGGGGGUCAUCCCGACUUACCAACCCGAUGCAAACUGCGAAUACCGGAGAAUGUUAUCACGGGAGACACACGGCGGGUGCUAACGUCCGUCGUGAAGAGGGAAACAACCCAGACCGCCAGCUAAGGUCCCAAAGUCAUGGUUAAGUGGGAAACGAUGUGGGAAGGCCCAGACAGCCAGGAUGUUGGCUUAGAAGCAGCCAUCAUUUAAAGAAAGCGUAAUAGCUCACUGGUCGAGUCGGCCUGCGCGGAAGAUGUAACGGGGCUAAACCAUGCACCGAAGCUGCGGCAGCGAACGUAUCACCCAAGACAACUUUACGGAGUUGACGAUUGAUGGAGCGAAGCGACGUCAAAGCGUUCAUUAAAGUCGAGUUGGCUUAGGGAUACGUUCGUUGGGUAGGGGAGCGUUCUGUAAGCCUGUGAAGGUGGCCUGUGAGGGUUGCUGGAGGUAUCAGAAGUGCGAAUGCUGACAUAAGUAACGAUAAAGCGGGUGAAAAGCCCGCUCGCCGGAAGACCAAGGGUUCCUGUCCAACGUUAAUCGGGGCAGGGUGAGUCGACCCCUAAGGCGAGGCCGAAAGGCGUAGUCGAUGGGAAACGGGUUAAUAUUCCCGUACUUGGUGUUACUGCGAAGGGGGGACGGAGAAGGCUAUGUUGGCCGGGCGACGGUUGUCCCGGUUUAAGCGUGUAGGUGUGUGUUCCAGGUAAAUCCGGUUCACUUUAACACUGAGGCGUGAUGACGAGGCACUACGGUGCUGAAGCAACAAAUGCCCUGCUUCCAGGAAAAGCCUCUAAGCAUCAGGUAACAUCAAAUCGUACCCCAAACCGACACAGGUGGUCAGGUAGAGAAUACCAAGGCGCUUGAGAGAACUCGGGUGAAGGAACUAGGCAAAAUGGUGCCGUAACUUCGGGAGAAGGCACGCUGACACGUAGGUGAAGUGAUUUACUCACGGAGCUGAAGUCAGUCGAAGAUACCAGCUGGCUGCAACUGUUUAUUAAAAACACAGCACUGUGCAAACACGAAAGUGGACGUAUACGGUGUGACGCCUGCCCGGUGCCGGAAGGUUAAUUGAUGGGGUCAGCGCAAGCGAAGCUCCUGAUCGAAGCCCCGGUAAACGGCGGCCGUAACUAUAACGGUCCUAAGGUAGCGAAAUUCCUUGUCGGGUAAGUUCCGACCUGCACGAAUGGCGUAAUGAUGGCCAGGCUGUCUCCACCCGAGACUCAGUGAAAUUGAACUCGCUGUGAAGAUGCAGUGUACCCGCGGCAAGACGGAAAGACCCCGUGAACCUUUACUAUAGCUUGACACUGAACAUUGAGCCUUGAUGUGUAGGAUAGGUGGGAGGCUUUGAAGCGUGGACGCCAGUCUGC